RNAcentral lists this ribosomal RNA (440 nucleotides) under uncultured bacterium. RNAcentral describes it as "partial 16S ribosomal RNA". It matches the Rfam family "Bacterial small subunit ribosomal RNA", at positions 338 to 795 of the family's 1533-position model. The record is from RNAcentral.
CCUACGGGUGGCAGCAGUGGGGAAUAUUGCACAAUGGGGGAAACCCUGAUGCAGCGACGCCGCGUGAGUGAAGAAGUAUUUCGGUAUGUAAAGCUCUAUCAGCAGGGAAGAAACUGACGGCACCUGACUAAGCAGCCUUGGCGAACUAGGUGCCAGCAGCCGCGGUAAUACGUAGGGGGCAAGCGUUAUCCGGAUUUACUGGGUGUAACGGGAGCGUAGACGGCGGUGCAAGCCAGAUGUGAAAGCCUGGGGCUCAACCCCGGGACUGCAUUUGGAACUGUGCUGCUAGAGUGUCGGAGAGGCAGGCGGAAUUCCUAGUGUAGCGGUGAAAUGCGUAGAUAUUAGGAGGAACACCAGUGGCGAAGGCGGCCUGCUGGACGAUGACUGACGUUGAGGCUCGAAAGCGUGGGGAGCAAACAGGAUUAGAUACCCUUGUAGUC